This 402-nucleotide ribosomal RNA is filed under the name uncultured bacterium. Its description in RNAcentral is "bacterial SSU rRNA". It matches the Rfam family "Bacterial small subunit ribosomal RNA", at positions 30 to 429 of the family's 1533-position model. The record is from RNAcentral.
AUUGAACGCUGGCGGCAUGCUUUACACAUGCAAGUCGAACGGCAGCACGGGUGCUUGCACCUGGUGGCGAGUGGCGGACGGGUGAGUAAUACAUCGGAACGUAUCCAGAAGAGGGGGAUAACGCAUCGAAAGAUGUGCUAAUACCGCAUAUUCUCUGAGGAGGAAAGCAGGGGAUCGAAAGACCUUGCGCUUUGGGAGCGGCCGAUGUCUGAUUAGCUAGUUGGUGGGGUAAAGGCCUACCAAGGCGACGAUCAGUAGUUGGUCUGAGAGGACGACCAGCCACACUGGGACGUGAGACACGGCCCAGACUCCUACGGGAGGGCAGCAGUGGGGGAAUUUUGGACAAUGGGCGCAAGCCUGAUCCAGCAAUGCCGCGUGAGUGAAGAAGGCCUCGGUUGUAAG